This 468-nucleotide ribosomal RNA is filed under the name uncultured bacterium. Its description in RNAcentral is "partial 16S ribosomal RNA". It matches the Rfam family "Bacterial small subunit ribosomal RNA", at positions 28 to 507 of the family's 1533-position model. The record is from RNAcentral.
GACGAACGCUGGCGGCGUGCUUAACACAUGCAAGUCGAACGGAAAGGCCCUGCUUUUGUGGGGUGCUCGAGUGGCGAAAGGGUGAGUAACACGUGGGUAACCUGCCCUUGACUUUGGGAUAACUUCAGGAAAAUGGGGCUAAUACCGGAUAGGAGCUCCUGCUGCAUGGGGGGGGUUGGAAAGUUUCGGCGGUUGGGGAUGGACUCGCGGCUUAUCAGCUUGUUGGUGGGGUAGUGGCUUACCAAGGCUUUGACGGGUAGCCGGCCUGAGAGGGUGACCGGCCACAUUGGGACUGAGAUACGGCCCAGACUCCUACGGGAGGCAGCAGUGGGGAAUAUUGCACAAUGGGCGGAAGCCUGAUGCAGCAACGCCGCGUGCGGGAUGACGGCCUUCGGGUUGUAAACCGCUUUCGCCUGUGACGAAGCGUGAGUGACGGUAAUGGGUAAAGAAGCACCGGCUAACUACGUG